CGUCGCGUGGAGGAUGAAGGCCUUCGGGUCGUAAACUCCUUUUGUCAGGGAAGAAAACCCUGAGGUUAAUAGCCUUGGGGCUUGACGGUACCUGACGAAUAAGCCACGGCUAACUCCGUGCCAGCAGCCGCGGUAAUACGGAGGUGGCUAGCGUUACUCGGUAUUACUGGGUGUAAAGGGUCCGCAGGCGGCUAAGUAAGUAAGAGGUGAAAUCCUCCGGCUUAACCGGAGAACUGCCUCUUAUACUGCUUAGAUAGAGGGCAAGAGAGGAGAGCGGAACUGCCGGUGUAAGGGUGAAAUCUGUGGAUAUCGGCAGGAACACCAGUGGCGAAGGCGGCUCUCUGGCUUGCUCCUGACGCUCAGGGACGAAAGCUAGGGGAGCAAACAGGAUUAGAUACCCUGGUAGUC
Molecule: ribosomal RNA, 408 nt
Filed under: uncultured bacterium
Lineage: Bacteria
Description: bacterial SSU rRNA
Rfam family: Bacterial small subunit ribosomal RNA
Source: RNAcentral